UACGUAGGAGGCAAGCGUUGUCCGGAAUUACUGGGCGUAAAGCGCGUGUAGGUGGUGGGACAAGUCUGCUGUGAAAGCGCCUGGCUUAACCGGGCGAGGUCGGCGGAAACUGUCCGACUAGAGGACGGUAGAGGGGGGUGGAAUUCCCGGUGUAGAGGUGAAAUUCGUAGAUAUCGGGAGGAACACCUGUGGCGAAGGCGGCCAUCUGGACGACAAUUGACGCUGAGACGCGAAAGCGUGGGUAGCAAACAGG
This 253-nucleotide ribosomal RNA is filed under the name uncultured bacterium. RNAcentral describes it as "partial 16S ribosomal RNA". It matches the Rfam family "Bacterial small subunit ribosomal RNA", at positions 524 to 776 of the family's 1533-position model. The record is from RNAcentral.